Molecule: non-coding RNA, 583 nt
Organism: Erythranthe guttata (spotted monkey flower)
Lineage: Eukaryota; Viridiplantae; Streptophyta; Magnoliopsida; Lamiales; Phrymaceae
Source: RefSeq, a predicted model, not a curated record
CUCUCUCCAAAUGGAAGUAAAUUCUGUGGAAGAUCUGUGUAAAUUCGUGAGUUGUAAGCUGUCAAUUACGUCCGAUUACGAAAUUUACAGCUCGACAAUUCGUCUGAUGUGAUUUCACUUUCCUUUUACCUCAGUUAAUUUCCUGCGCGUUUCGGAGAUGCCGCAUCAUAGACGAACUCUGCAGACUAUCGGUUUCUCUCAAACCCGCGCCUCCUCUCGUUCGAAUCUCAGUUUCGGAUACAGGCAUUGGAAGCACUUUGGAGGAAUUUCAGCAAUUGAAGUACCAGAACAACCCAAUUUUGGAUGGUAAAUGGGAUGGAGUUCUUUGCAUUGCUACCACAAGGUGGUAAUACUGCUAAAAGUCAUUAAGUGAAUAAAGCAAGAACGGAGCCUCGUAGCUAUUCUUCAUGUUAGUUCCAUCCUUAAUAAAAUCACGUCUUCUCACUGAAGGCACCUCUGAUAAAGAAAUACAUCAUAUGAAAUAUGACUUGAAAGAAGUUGUCUCCUCUAAAAGACUGGUGACUCUACCAUCUGCAACAAAGAAUGGUGCAAAAUUUAGGUAAUUUCGUCCCUCCUGUCUCUA